GCACUUUGACGUGCUUUUGAACUGCUAGGUUGGCAGGAGCUGGGAUAGAGCAAUGGGAGCUCACCCCGUUGCAGGGAUUCGAACCGCCGACCUUCAAAUCGGCAAGCCCAAGAGGCUCAGUGGUUUAGACCACAGCGCCACCCACGUCCUUUAUGUAAAAUCUACCCACACUAAACAAACUACUUCCAUAUGCUUUAUUUAACCUCCAACUCCAACAGGUGGUGGUGAAACCACAAAUGUCCACACACUUGCCACAUGUAGACAAGCCUAACUGACUUUGCCAAAUUAUAUACCCACAUUCCUUGCUUUUUCCUGUUAUCCUCCAGAACUAUAGAGCUAACAUAUAUGCCUUUAGGAGCAAAUGCGGCUCCUUCCCUUCUAUAUUUUGUCUGCCCUUGUAAUAACCCCAGAUCAAGGUACUCUUCCCAUAUUUGGAUAGGGAAUGUUGGCUACAAGUGUCUUGGUAAAGUCACACUGAAUAGGUGGCAGGAAAUUAAUGUGUUCAUGGAGCGAAAAUCUUCAACAUAUGCAUUUGAAAAUAUAGUUUGUUGAUGUUGAUGAGAGGUAACUGCCGCAUGCCCAUGAUAAAUGGAAUGAGAGAAAAGCAGAAACAGAAACAGAAGGUAAGAGAAAUACAGUGGUACCUUGGUUUAUGAACUUAAUCUGUUCCAGAAGUCUGUUCUUAAACCAAAGCGUUCUUAAACCAGGGCGUGCUUUCCCAUAGCAGCGGGGGACUCGAUUUACAAAUGGAGCACAAUCAACAGGAAGUGGAACAUGUUCUGCUUCCAAGGCAAAAUUCACAAACCAAAACACCUACUUCCGGGUUUGCAGUGUUCUUAAUCCAAGUUGUUCAUAAACUAAGCUGUUCUUAAACCAAGGUACCACUGUAGUAAAAAUGAGGGGUAGGGUAUAGGCAGCAGGAAAACAGAAGGUCAGAAUUAAGGCAAAGAAAAAUAAGAUCAGAAGGCAGGGGGGAGGGAAAAGACAAGAUAACAGAACAUGGUGAAUGAGAAAUAAAAGAAGGAGGAAAUAGAAAUUUCAAAGCAAAACAAGAAAGGUGGUGAGAAAAGCAAGAGAUCAAAUAAACACACUUUCAGGGCUGGAUAUGCACUGGAGAAUGAAACAGAAGGUGAAAAGCGGGGGUUAGCCGCAACAUGGAAAUCUAGAAGGCAAAGGAAAUGGGGCUGCAAAAAAGCUGACUGGUUGUUAGAUGGGUAAACAGCCAAAAACGAUAGAACAGGGAGAGAAAGAAUAGGACCAAGCCACAGAGACACUCUGAAUACUGCUUUGGGGAAAUAAUCUGCUGUUAUAUCUGACAGAGCCAGAUAGUUCUUCAGCCUGUGCAGGGAAGUAACAAGCAAACUGUUCAGCCAAGCAACAAGACACAAGAAGAUACCCGAGACCAAUGGAGGCCUAUUUUGUGCAGAAUGCUGCCAGAAGUGUAUAAAGACUAGAUCUUUGCAACUCCCAGUCCCAACCCAUUUUUCAAGGGUUCUCCAGAAGGGUCAGCAUCAGAAUUUCAUCACAGGCUAGGGAACCACAUGAGAUAAUCUGUUAAGACUGGCUAGCACACAAAAAGCCAGCUCAAGAUUACUUCACACAUCGCUACCAUAUUAAGUACAGUGGUAGGUUCAGGUAGCUUCAGGCAUUGUAAGCCACAUCAGUUGUGUCCCACUUGCAUGUCUAGUUCCCAUGGAUAAUAAAGCUGCUGAUACUUUAAUUGAUAAUGAUGGCAGAUGCUGAUAUUCUUCUUUGCCACUGUCCUUGCAACAACUGGCAAAAAUGCAUGUUUUAAUUAGUGAUCUUUGCCAGUAAAGUUAGCCUGCACCGAAGCAGCUCUUUUUAAAGCAGAGAGUCAACAAGAAAUUAAAUAAAGGGAUAUUUAUUUUGGCAACCACAUUUAGAUUAACACUGAAUGGGUAGCAAUGGGUAGCUGAGGACAAAUAAGUGGUUCAUAAAUUAACGAAAUAAUAAUAUCUCUUUCACAUAAGUAUCAAGGUGAUUUAAUGUCAAACAAUUUAAAAAGCAAAAAUAGGUCAAAACAACAACUAAGGAUUGAUUUUAAAACAAUACUUGAAGCUCCAAGGCCUAAAAUGUUCACCAAUAACAUGUACAAAAGGGCAGGCCCAGCUCAAAAGAUGAGGCCUACUAGGUAGGUAAGGGAUAAAGUGGUCUCUAAAGUAUUAUGUUUCCAAGUGCACUCUCCCUGUAUCAGCAAAUGUAGCAAUCUAAAUAUAUAUAUAUAUUUAUCUUUGUCUCCAAUACAUUCAAUAAAAUAUAUUGUUUGCA
Molecule: long non-coding RNA, 2289 nt
Organism: Podarcis raffonei (Aeolian wall lizard)
Lineage: Eukaryota; Metazoa; Chordata; Lepidosauria; Squamata; Lacertidae
Exons: 2
Source: RefSeq, a predicted model, not a curated record